GCCGGGAUAGCCAAGCGGAUCACACAGAAGGUGUCCGUAAACGGCGCAGGCCUGGAGAGCCUGUGAUCCGAAAGGAUCGCGCGGGUUCGAAUCCUGCUCCCGGCGCCA
Molecule: transfer RNA, 108 nt
Filed under: Candidatus Freyarchaeota archaeon
Lineage: Archaea; Promethearchaeati; Candidatus Freyarchaeota
Also listed under: 1 other name
Description: tRNA-Ser
Rfam family: tRNA
About the family: Transfer RNA (tRNA) molecules are approximately 80 nucleotides in length.
Source: RNAcentral